This 326-nucleotide unclassified non-coding RNA is filed under the name soil metagenome. Its description in RNAcentral is "partial contains 5.8S ribosomal RNA, internal transcribed spacer 2, and large subunit ribosomal RNA". The stretch from base 1 to 122 matches the Rfam family "5.8S ribosomal RNA", at positions 35 to 154 of the family's 154-position model. The record is from RNAcentral.
GAUGAAGAACGUAGCGAAAUGCGAUACGUAAUGUGAAUUGCAGAUCUCUCAGUGAACCAUCGAAUUUUUGAACGCACAUUGCGCCCUGUGGUAUUCCGCAGGGCAUGCCUGUUCGAGCGUCAUUUCAACCCUCAAGCCCCGCUUGGUGUUGGGCCCCGCCCGCUGUGGCCGGCCCUAAAGACAGUGGCGGCGCCGCCUGGCCCUCAGCGUAGUACAUCUCUCGCUCCAGGGUCCGGUGGCCGCCUGCCAGAACCCCCCAACUCUGUGGUUGACCUCGGAUCAGGUAGGGAUACCCGCUGAACUUAAGCAUAUCAAUAAGCGGAGGA